GAAAUGCGAUAAGUAAUGUGAAUUGCAGAAUUCAGUGAAUCAUCGAAUCUUUGAACGCACCUUGCGCCCUUUGGCUAUUCUGAAGGGCAUGCCUGUUUGAGUAUCAUGAACACCUCAACUCUCAUGGUCCGCCAUGACGAGCUUGGACUUUGGGGGUCUUGCCGGCCUAGCGUCGGCUCCUCUCAAAUGGAUCAGCUUCCCAGUGUUUGGCGGCGUCACAGGUGUGAUAACUAUCUACGCUUGUGGUUCUCUGCCAUUAACCUUCAGCGAUGGAGGUUCGCUGGAGCUCACAGAUGUCUCUCCUUGGGGAGGACAGCUUUUUGAACGUCUGAUCUCAAAUCAGGUAGGACUACCCGCUGAACUUAA
Molecule: unclassified non-coding RNA, 366 nt
Filed under: uncultured Tomentella
Lineage: Eukaryota; Fungi; Basidiomycota; Agaricomycetes; Thelephorales; Thelephoraceae
Description: sequence contains ITS1
Rfam family: 5.8S ribosomal RNA (bases 1-106)
Source: RNAcentral